Amphimedon queenslandica is the source of this 554-nucleotide long non-coding RNA. RefSeq lists it as uncharacterized. The transcript has 3 exons. The record is from RefSeq and is a predicted model, not a curated record. Lineage: Eukaryota; Metazoa; Porifera; Demospongiae; Haplosclerida; Niphatidae.
AUGUAGCUGUAGCAAUUAUUAUUAUUAUUUAUUUUUAAGAGGUGUUGCAGUUGUAUCAGAUCCAGUUGUUGGCUCAUGGUGUGAUGAUGGUCGGCCCCAGUGGAAGUGGAAAGUCUUCAGCCUGGAAGGUUCUCCUGAAGGUGCUUGAGAAGCUGAAGGUGUUAAAGGUGUGGCUCACGUCAUAGAUCCCAAGGCAAUAUCAAAGGAAGACCUUUACGGAGUCCUUGAUCCUAACACUAGGGAGGGACUGAUGGACUCUUCACUCACAUACUCAGAAAGUUGUUGGUCUUAAUGUCUCAUCAGCCACUACCCCUGAGCUUUUAUUAAAGAGGUUUGAUCAUUACUGUGAGUACAAGAGGACUCCCAAUGGAGUUGUGAUGGCUCCUUCUCAACUCGGAAAGUGGCUGGUUCUCUUCUGUGACGAGAUUAACCUUCCAGACCUUGACAAAUAUGGUACACAGUGAGUAAUAUCGUUCUUACGUCAGAUUGUCGAGCAUGGCAGAUUUUACAGGACCUCCGAUCACACGUGGGUGACAAUAGAGAGGAUACAGUUU